CUUUAAAUGCAUGCUCAAACGGAUUGACAUAAGUUAGAAAUGACUCACAGAGGCUGGCAUGCCAGAGGUUGAUGGGGGAGGGGAUCUGCAAAAAGGAAAUUUGUGCUUCCGUGGUGGAAGGAAAGCCAUGAAAGAGGAAGGGAUCAUUUUGCUUGAAAACAUAGAGGACUUACUAAACUACAUCCAAAAGAAGGGGACUGAGACAAAGGAGUCAGACUAAACACACCACAAGAUUUUAAAUAUCUGUACUGGCUGUCCAUGUCCAGGCACUGGUGGGGUGGGGGGGCUGCAGGGCUCCUCUGUGAGGAGGGGCUGGGGCUGCCCCGUGCCAGACUCCAGCCAACUCCAGUGACCCUGCCAUUGGGCACAGCUGGGCCCAGCAGCCAAGAUGGCAGCACCUAGGAGAAAGCGUGUUUAAGAAAGGGCAAAU
RNAcentral lists this long non-coding RNA (430 nucleotides) under Anser brachyrhynchus (Pink-footed goose). RNAcentral's name for it is "lncRNA (ENSABRG00000003113.1)". The record is from RNAcentral. Lineage: Eukaryota; Metazoa; Chordata; Aves; Anseriformes; Anatidae.